UAGAGUUUGAUCCUGGCUCAGAUUGAACGCUGGCGGCAUGCCUUACACAUGCAAGUCGAACGGUAACGCGGGGCAACCUGGCGACGAGUGGCGAACGGGUGAGUAAUAUAUCGGAACGUACCCGGUAGUGGGGGAUAGCCCGGCGAAAGCCGGAUUAAUACCGCAUGAGACCUCAGGGUGAAAGCGGGGGAUCGCAAGACCUCGCGCUAUUGGAGCGGCCGAUAUCAGAUUAGGUAGUUGGUGGGGUAAAGGCCUACCAAGCCGACGAUCUGUAGCUGGUCUGAGAGGACGACCAGCCACACUGGGACUGAGACACGGCCCAGACUCCUACGGGAGGCAGCAGUGGGGAAUUUUGGACAAUGGGCGCAAGCCUGAUCCAGCCAUGCCGCGUGCGGGAAGAAGGCCUUCGGGUUGUAAACCGCUUUUGUCGGGGAAGAAAUCCUCUGGGCUAAUACCCCGGGGGGAUGACGGUACCCGAAGAAUAAGCACCGGCUAACCACGUGCCAGCAGCCGCGGUAAUACGUAGGGUGCGAGCGUUAAUCGGAAUUACUGGGCGUAAAGCGUGCGCAGGCGGUCGUGCAAGACAGGUGUGAAAUCCCCGGGCUCAACCUGGGAACUGCAUUUGUGACUGCACGGCUGGAGUACGGCAGAGGGGGAUGGAAUUCCGCGUGUAGCAGUGAAAUGCGUAGAUAUGCGGAGGAACACCGAUGGCGAAGGCAGUCCCCUGGGCCUGUACUGACGCUCAUGCACGAAAGC
RNAcentral lists this ribosomal RNA (756 nucleotides) under uncultured bacterium. Its description in RNAcentral is "bacterial SSU rRNA". It matches the Rfam family "Bacterial small subunit ribosomal RNA", at positions 1 to 760 of the family's 1533-position model. The record is from RNAcentral.